GAUGAACGCUGGCGGCGUGCCUAAUACAUGCAAGUCGAGCGAACAGACGAGGAGCUUGCUCCUCUGACGUUAGCGGCGGACGGGUGAGUAACACGUGGAUAACCUACCUAUAAGACUGGGAUAACUUCGGGAAACCGGAGCUAAUACCGGAUAAUAUAUUGAACCGCAUGGUUCAAUAGUGAAAGACGGUUUUGCUGUCACUUAUAGAUGGAUCCGCGCCGCAUUAGCUAGUUGGUAAGGUAACGGCUUACCAAGGCAACGAUGCGUAGCCGACCUGAGAGGGUGAUCGGCCACACUGGAACUGAGACGCGGUCCAGCCUCCUACGGGAGGCAGCAGUAGGGAAUCUUCCGCAAUGGGCGAAAGCCUGACGGAGCAACGCCGAGUGAGUGAUGAAGGUCUUCGGAUCGUAAAACUCUGUUAUUAGGGAAGAACAAAUGUGUAAGUAACUAUGCACGUCUUGACGGUACCUAAUCAGAAAGCCACGGCUAACUACGUG
This 497-nucleotide ribosomal RNA is filed under the name uncultured bacterium. Its description in RNAcentral is "partial 16S ribosomal RNA". It matches the Rfam family "Bacterial small subunit ribosomal RNA", at positions 28 to 507 of the family's 1533-position model. The record is from RNAcentral.